CUACGGGGGGCUGCAGUGGGGAAUAUUGGACAAUGGGGGAAACCCUGAUCCAGCAAUGCCGCGUGUGUGAAGAAGGCCUGCGGGUUGUAAAGCACUUUCGGUUGGGAGGACUGCUUCUAGCACUAAUAUUGUUGGAAGUUGACGUUACCUUCAGAAGGAGCACCGGCUAACUCCGUGCCAGCAGCCGCGGUAAUACGGGGGUGCAAGCGUUAAUCGGAAUUACUGGGCGUAAAGCGCGCGUAGGCGGCUAGAUCAGUCGGGUGUGAAAGCCCCGGGCUUAACCUGGGAACUGCAUCCGAUACUGUCUAGCUUGAGUACAGGAGAGGAGAGUGGAAUUCCACAUGUAGCGGUGAAAUGCGUAGAUAUGUGGAGGAACACCAAUGGCGAAGGCAGCUCUCUGGCCUGAUACUGACGCUGAGGUGCGAAAGCGUGGGGAGCAAACAGGAUUAGAUACCCUCGUAGUC
RNAcentral lists this ribosomal RNA (464 nucleotides) under uncultured bacterium. RNAcentral describes it as "partial 16S ribosomal RNA". It matches the Rfam family "Bacterial small subunit ribosomal RNA", at positions 339 to 795 of the family's 1533-position model. The record is from RNAcentral.